UUGCUGUGCUUUCUUUAUGCCACUUUGGAAUGAGAACAAUUCCCUCUUUCUCCGUUUCUGGAGCGAUUAUUGUUUUCAGGAAUGAUAUCAGAGACAUCAUAGUUGUUAACUCAAAUAGGACCUUCAAGUUGUGAAUAGCUAGGUUAGGAAGCCUCUCUAUUUAGAAGUGUUGUUGAUGUGCUAAGAGAAAUCUGAUGCAUUUAGAAUAGAGUCUGAUUCAUAAUGGAGCUGUGAUGAAGCUGUUAUCAAACCAUUAUCCGAUUUAGCAUAUGAAGUUUUAACCUGUCCAAUGACUUAUAUUUUGGCUUCCUAAUGAAAUGUAUGCACAAAGCUUCUUGUUUCCUUUCAUACAAAUCACACCAGAAAUGCCUCCCUUACAUCACAGUUACUUGUGGUUCUAUUUUGCAGCUUAUGAAAUCACAAAGUACUCUUCCAA
This 436-nucleotide long non-coding RNA is filed under the name Linum usitatissimum (flax). RNAcentral describes it as "long non-coding RNA (LUSI_LNC001561)". Lineage: Eukaryota; Viridiplantae; Streptophyta; Magnoliopsida; Malpighiales; Linaceae. The record is from RNAcentral.